This 422-nucleotide ribosomal RNA is filed under the name uncultured bacterium. RNAcentral's name for it is "bacterial SSU rRNA". It matches the Rfam family "Bacterial small subunit ribosomal RNA", at positions 355 to 774 of the family's 1533-position model. The record is from RNAcentral.
UGAGGAAUAUUGGGCAAUGCCCGAAAGGGUGACCCAGCAACGCCGCGUGGAGGAUGAAGGUCGUAAGAUUGUAAACUCCUGUUAGAGGGGAAGAAUAACUAAGUUUGGAGCUUAGUAUGACUGUACCCUCAGAGAAAGCCCCGGCUAACUACGUGCCAGCAGCCGCGGUAAUACGUAGGGGGCAAGCGUUGUCCGGAUUUACUGGGUGUAAAGGGCGCGCAGGCGGAAUGGAAAGUCAGUGGUGAAAUCCUACAGCUUAACUGUAGAACUGCCUUUGAUACUUUCAUUCUUGAGUUCGGGAGAGAGAGACGGAAUUCCAGGUGUAGUGGUGAAGUACGUAGAUAUCUGGAAGAACACCAGUUGCGAAGGCGGUCUCUUGGUCCGAUACUGACGCUGAGGCGCGAAAGCGUGGGGAGCAAACA